Molecule: unclassified non-coding RNA, 434 nt
Filed under: soil metagenome
Description: partial contains 5.8S ribosomal RNA, internal transcribed spacer 2, and large subunit ribosomal RNA
Rfam family: 5.8S ribosomal RNA (bases 1-120)
Source: RNAcentral
GAUGAAGAACGCAGCGAAAUGCGAUACGUAAUGUGAAUUGCAGAAUUCAGUGAAUCAUCGAAUCUUUGAACGCAUAUUGCGCUCUCUGGUAUUCCGGAGAGCAUGCUUGUUUGAGUAUCAGUAAACACCUCAACUUUCCAUAUCUUUUUUGAAAUGGGAGUUGGACUUGAGUGAUCCCAACGCUUUUCCUCACCGAAAAGUGGCGGGUUACUUGAAAUGCAGGUGCAGCUGGACUUUUCUCUGAGCUAUAAGCAUAUCUAUUUAGUCUGCCUAAAAAACAGAUUAUUACCUUUGCUGCAGCUAACAUAAAGGAGAUUAGUUCUUGUGCUGACUGAUGCAGGAUUCACAAAGACAGGCUUCGGCCGACUUUGUAAACUCGAUCUCAAAUCAAGUAAGACUACCCGCUGAACUUAAGCAUAUCAAUAAGCGGAGGA